GGGGUUGUAGCUCAGGGGCAGAGCCCUUGCCUUGCAUGCGUGAGACCCUGAGUUCAAUCCUCAGUACCA
RNAcentral lists this transfer RNA (69 nucleotides) under Ictidomys tridecemlineatus (thirteen-lined ground squirrel). RNAcentral describes it as "Spermophilus tridecemlineatus (thirteen-lined ground squirrel) tRNA". It matches the Rfam family "tRNA". From Rfam's summary of the family: Transfer RNA (tRNA) molecules are approximately 80 nucleotides in length. Their secondary structure includes four short double-helical elements and three loops (D, anti-codon, and T loops). Further hydrogen bonds mediate the characteristic L-shaped molecular structure. tRNAs have two regions of fundamental functional importance: the anti-codon, which is responsible for specific mRNA codon recognition, and the 3' end, to which the tRNAs corresponding amino acid is attached (by aminoacyl-tRNA synthetases). tRNAs cope with the degeneracy of the genetic code in two manners: having more than one tRNA (with a specific anti-codon) for a particular amino acid; and 'wobble' base-pairing, i.e. permitting non-standard base-pairing at the 3rd anti-codon position. Lineage: Eukaryota; Metazoa; Chordata; Mammalia; Rodentia; Sciuridae. The record is from Rfam by way of RNAcentral.